Molecule: ribosomal RNA, 667 nt
Filed under: Acidobacteriota bacterium
Lineage: Bacteria; Pseudomonadati; Acidobacteriota
Description: Acidobacteria bacterium partial 23S ribosomal RNA
Rfam family: Bacterial large subunit ribosomal RNA
Source: RNAcentral
GGGUAGUUUGACUGGGGCGGUCGCCUCCCAAACUGUAACGGAGGCGCGCGAAGGUUCGCUCAGGCUGUUUGGAAAUCAGCCGGAGAGUGCAAAGGCAGAAGCGAGCUUGACUGCGAGACACACACGUCGAGCAGGUGGGAAACCAGGCCUUAGUGAUCCGGUGGUUCCGCAUGGAAGGGCCAUCGCUCAACGGAUAAAAGGUACGCCGGGGAUAACAGGCUUAUCUUGGCCAAGAGUUCAUAUCGACGCCAAGGUUUGGCACCUCGAUGUCGGCUCAUCGCAUCCUGGAGCUGUAGCAGGUUCCAAGGGUUCGGCUGUUCGCCGAUUAAAGCGGUACGUGAGCUGGGUUUAGAACGUCGCGAGACAGUUCGGUCCCUAUCUACCAUGGGCGCAGGAGAUUUGAGGGGGGCUGUCCCUAGUACGAGAGGACCGGGAUGGACGAACCUCUAGUGUACCAGUUGUCGCGCCAGCGGCAGUGCUGGGUAGCUACGUUCGGAUGGGAGAAACGCUGAAAGCAUCUAAGCGUGAAACCCUCCCCAAGAUGAGAUCUCCCUGGAUCUUCGGAUCCCUGAAGGCUCCUGGAAGACUACCAGGUAUAUAGGCCAGAUGUGUAAGGCUUGCGAGAGCUUGAGCUUACUGGUACUAAUCAGCCGUGAGGCUUGACCUU